UUCGCCUACGGGGGGCAGCAGUGGGGAAUAUUGCACAAUGGGGGAAACCCUGAUGCAGCAACGCCGCGUGGGUGAAGGAGCGUUUCGGCGCGUAAAGCCCUAUCAGCAGGGAAGAUAAUGACGGUACCUGACUAAGAAGCCCCGGCUAACUACGUGCCAGCAGCCGCGGUAAUACGUAGGGGGCAAGCGUUAUCCGGAUUUACUGGGUGUAAAGGGAGCGUAGGUGGCAGGGCAAGUCAGAUGGGAAAACCCGGGGCUCAACUCCGGGAGGGCAUUUGAAACUGUCCAGCUAGAGUGCAGAAGAG
RNAcentral lists this ribosomal RNA (305 nucleotides) under uncultured bacterium. RNAcentral describes it as "bacterial SSU rRNA". It matches the Rfam family "Bacterial small subunit ribosomal RNA", at positions 334 to 656 of the family's 1533-position model. The record is from RNAcentral.